GGUCCUGCCUGCCCAGUGACAAUUUUCAACGGCCGCGGUAUUUUGACCGUGCAAAGGUAGCAUAAUCACUUGUCUUCCAAAUAAAGACUAGUAUGAACGGCAAAACGAAGGCCCAACUGUCUCCUUUGUCUACUCAAUGAAAUUGAUCCCACAGUACAAAAGCUGUGAUCAGACAGCAAGACGAGAAGACCCUAUGGAGCUUAAAGCACACUAGAAAGUACAAUGGUAUUUUACAAUCCCCCUCGUACUAAUUCCACACUGUUUUCGGUUGGGGCGACCACGGAGAACACUAACCCUCCGAGAUGAUAUGCCAGGAAAACAAUCCAAAACAUCAGAAAACUGACAUAAUUGACCCAAUAACUUUGACCAACGAACCAAGUUACCCUAGGGAUAACAGCGCAAUCCUCUUCAAGAGCCCAUAUCGACAAGAGGGCUUACGACCUCGAUGUUGGAUCAGGAUAACCUGACAGUGUAACAGCCGUCA
Molecule: ribosomal RNA, 484 nt
Filed under: Ichthyophis asplenius (Boven Mahakkam caecilian)
Lineage: Eukaryota; Metazoa; Chordata; Amphibia; Gymnophiona; Ichthyophiidae
Description: Caudacaecilia asplenia partial 16S ribosomal RNA
Rfam family: Bacterial large subunit ribosomal RNA
Source: RNAcentral